UACAGAGGGUGCGAGCGUUGUUCGGAAUUAUUGGGCGUAAAGCGCUUGUAGGCGGCUCGGUAAGUCGCGUGUGAAAGCUUCCGGCUCAACCGGAAGAGUGCGCGCGAAACUGACGAGCUUGAGUGCCGGAGAGGGUCGCGGAAUUCCCGGUGUAGAGGUGAAAUUCGUAGAUAUCGGGAGGAACACCAGAGGCGAAGGCGGCGACCUGGAAGGUAACUGACACUGAGCAGCGAAAGCGUGGGUAGCAAACAGG
This 253-nucleotide ribosomal RNA is filed under the name uncultured bacterium. RNAcentral's name for it is "partial 16S ribosomal RNA". It matches the Rfam family "Bacterial small subunit ribosomal RNA", at positions 524 to 776 of the family's 1533-position model. The record is from RNAcentral.